This 482-nucleotide ribosomal RNA is filed under the name uncultured bacterium. RNAcentral's name for it is "partial 16S ribosomal RNA". It matches the Rfam family "Bacterial small subunit ribosomal RNA", at positions 29 to 523 of the family's 1533-position model. The record is from RNAcentral.
AAUGAACGUUGGCGGCGUGGAUUAGGCAUGCAAGUCGAACGAGAUCUGUAGCAAUACAGUGAAAGUGGCGAAAGGGAGAGUAAUACGUAGGUACCUGCCCUCGGGUCUGGGAUAGCUGCGGGAAACUGCAAUUAAUACCGGAUGAUGUCUCUGGACCAAAGGUGUGAUUCCGCCAGGGGAUGGGCCUGCGUCCUAUCAGCUUGUUGGUGUGGUAACGGCGCACCAAGGCUAAGACGGGUACGGGGUGUGAGAGCAUGCCCCCGCUCACUGGGACUGAGAUACUGCCCAGACACCUACGGGUGGCUGCAGUCGAGAAUCUUCCGCAAUGGGCGCAAGCCUGACGGAGCGACGCCGCGUGUGGGAUGAAGGCCUUCGGGUUGUAAACCACUGUCAGUGGGGAGCAAAUGCAUCAGGGUUCUCCCUGGUGUUUGAGCGAUCCGCAGAGGAAGCACAGGCUAAUUCCGUGCCAGCAGCCGCCGUAA